RNAcentral lists this ribosomal RNA (433 nucleotides) under uncultured bacterium. RNAcentral's name for it is "partial 16S ribosomal RNA". It matches the Rfam family "Bacterial small subunit ribosomal RNA", at positions 29 to 507 of the family's 1533-position model. The record is from RNAcentral.
AACGAACGCUGGCGGCAUGCCUAACACAUGCAAGUCGAACGAGACCUUCGGGUCUAGUGGCGCACGGGUGCGUAACGCGUGGGAACCUGCCCUUAGGUUCGGGAUAACUCCCCGAAAGGGGUGCUAAUACCGGAUAAUGUCUUCGGACCAAAGAUUUGUCGCCUUUGGAUGGGCCCGCGUUGGAUUAGCUAGUUGGUAGGGUAAAAGCCUACCAAGGCGACGAUCCAUAGCUGGUCUGAGAGGAUGAUCAGCCACACUGGGACUGAGACACGGCCCAGACUCCUACGGGAGGCAGCAGUGGGGAAUAUUGGACAAUGGGCGAAAGCCUGAUCCAGCAAUGCCGCGUGAGUGAUGAAGGCCUUAGGGUUGUAAAGCUCUUUUACCCGGGAUGAUAAUGACAGUACCGGGAGAAUAAGCUCCGGCUAACUCCGUG